Molecule: ribosomal RNA, 402 nt
Filed under: uncultured bacterium
Lineage: Bacteria
Description: bacterial SSU rRNA
Rfam family: Bacterial small subunit ribosomal RNA
Source: RNAcentral
UGGGGAAUAUUGGACAAUGGGGGCAACCCUGAUCCAGCAAUGCCGCGUGUGUGAAGAAGGUCUUCGGAUUGUAAAGCACUUUCGACGGGGACGAUGAUGACGGUACCCGUAGAAGAAGCCCCGGCUAACUUCGUGCCAGCAGCCGCGGUAAUACGAAGGGGGCUAGCGUUGCUCGGAAUGACUGGGCGUAAAGGGCGUGUAGGCGGUUUUGACAGUCAGAUGUGAAAUCCCCGGGCUUAACCUGGGAGCUGCAUUUGAGACGUUAAGACUAGAGUGUGAGAGAGGGUUGUGGAAUUCCCAGUGUAGAGGUGAAAUUCGUAGAUAUUGGGAAGAACACCGGUGGCGAAGGCGGCAACCUGGCUCAUUACUGACGCUGAGGCGCGAAAGCGUGGGGAGCAAACA